RNAcentral lists this long non-coding RNA (2992 nucleotides) under Cricetulus griseus (Chinese hamster). RNAcentral describes it as "lncRNA (ENSCGRG00015043096.1)". The record is from RNAcentral. Lineage: Eukaryota; Metazoa; Chordata; Mammalia; Rodentia; Cricetidae.
AAGAAAAGAAACAAACAACCCUAAAACUAUUGUACAUACUUUAAAGCAAUAAUACAGAAUCUAUGUUUCCCAUUAAAAACAAUUUUAUUAACAAACUCUGGCUGCAAAGAUGGCUAAGCAAGUAAAAGCACUUGCUGCCAAGUCUGAGGACCUGAGUUCAAUCCUUGGGACCCACAUAGUGGAAAAAGAAAACCAACUCCUGCAAGUUGUCUUCUGACCUACAUAUGCCCAUGCUGCUCUGGCCUUUCUCUCUCUCCUGCCCCCUCUCUCUCUUACACACACACACACACACACAAAUAACUAAAACUUUUCUUAAAUGAAUAAACUCAAAUGACCUUUUUGUUAUGUGAGACAUAAGCUUUAAUUCAAUCCCAUUAUUCAUUUCUUCCCAAAUAUAUCAACCAACUAGAAGUAUUAAUUCCAUUAUUCAGUGUGCAUCCCAUCAUACCUUACUAUUUACAACAGAGUCUACAAAUAGCCUGUUAGAACCCUGAGUGUGCAGCAGCACAGCCCUGCCUGGCGACUGUAUGCAGCAACGGCAGCAGUUCAACCUGAUAUGUGUUGGGCUCAGAUUAGAGAGAUCAAGGGGAAUUUGACAGCAAGUUGGUUUCACAUGGGACUGGCUAAUGAUCAGCCCAGUGUCAUUUGGAAAUAAUUUGGGGAAUUAUGACAGAGAUGCUAAUAUACUACGUAACAAUAAGUCUUUAUUUCAUCCGACCAAGCUCUGUCACCACGUGGGUGCUUUCUGCCAGGCUGCCCGAGUUCUGCCCACCGCCACAUUAAGGUCCCAAGUAACACACAUAUUAGGUACAAAUGCUGCUUGGCCAAUGACUAGGAUUUCUCAUUUGCUAGCUCAGUCUUAAUUAUCAAAUCUAUAGAUUUUAUAAGACUUAUCUUAUAAAGGAUGCCUUCCACUGGCACCCUCUCUUGCCAGUGGAUCAUAUUGUGACUCCAGAGCAGAGACCAGAAGGAAGAGAGAAGGGACGACUUCUUUCUUGCCCUUGCUUAUAUAUGAGUCUCCCUGCUAUGAGUCACUUCCUGCCUGGAUCUUUUACUACAUUUCCCAGAAUCCUCCUUGACUUCUAGUCCCACCUAUCUUGCUUCCUCAAAUAAAGGCCAAGUAGUACUUUAUUUAUUAACCAAUAAAAGAGACAUAUGCAGAAAGACGUCCCCCAUCAACACUAUAUUUAUAUGAAGCUGCAAUGCUGUAUCAGGUGGUUCAGGGAUCCAGUAUGGAUCACUUAAAUACAAUUUUGAGGGAAUCUCACAUAUCUGCUUACAAUGAUGGAUUUCUAAAGACAUUCAGUGAUUCUGUCUCCUGAAAAUUAUGAGAUGUUAAGAACUGAAAAACAAACAAACAAACCUUUAGAGAUAGCACACAAUUUUUUUUCACACAAAGGCAAAGAGACCAGUAAAGCUCUUUACAUCACUAGUAAGUGGCAACAUCAGGGCCUGAGCUAAGCCUGUGAGAUGCACUCCAGGGCACCACUCACAUCACAGGAUCAUGUUUAUUAUGAACUCUUCAGGGUAGUCUGGCAAUCUGUAGACACGAGGAAGAGCAGAUACUGCCAUCUCGAGCCGGAAGACAUCUUCCUCUUCAAAGCAUCUCAUACUUUCUAUUGAGAUGCCUCCGAGUGCUUGUGCCCACUCACGUAGCAAAGGGCAACCUGAUCUCCCCCAAAUCUACUGAUUUCAAUGCUAGUCACACCUUUAAAAAAUACCUCACAGCCCUAUCUAUGUGUGCUUGACCAAAUAAAUAGGCACAUGGCCUACCAGACACAAAAUUAGCUAUCAUUAACCCUUCCUCAAUCCACACAGAAAAACAAAGAAUUUAUAUGUCAGAUUUUCAUUUGGGCUCAUUCCAUGCUUUGACACAUGUUGUUAAAGGCUUCAACUCCCACUUAACACUAGAUUUCAUAAGACAUGAAUAUCAUCUCACUCAACAUUUGUUGGAUCAUAAGAAAUUGGAUUUGUAGUUCCUUCUGGUCUGCAAAAUAUGGUUCAUGAGUAUAUCUUGUAUAAUCUUCACAAGUCACUUUAGUAGCACAAAUUUGAGCAGAAACAAGGCUAAGACUGUCACAUUAACAGGUAAUAAUCAAGAAGGAUCAGAUCCCCUGCCUCAGUGCCAUUGCUCAUCAAGGGCUAGGACAAGAAGUACCAGGUACUCAAAGACAGCAGAGGUCUUGUCAUUUCUAAAUCAAUCUACACCUGCAUGCAAGUUCAGAAUUAAUCACUGUCCACAAGUAGUGUUUAGGGCUUUUCAAAACUGUUUACUCAAUACUAAGUUUACACCUCAGAGAAUUUUCAUAAAAUUUCAUAAAAUUGUUACCAACAUGAAGAUAUGGGACAUGAUGGGGGUUGUCCUUCUGUAUGUAUGUUUCUCUUAUUGGUUGAUGACUAAAACACUGAUUGGCCAGUAGCCAGACAGGAAGCAUAGGCAGGGCUACCAGACCAGAAGAAGGCUAGGGAGAGGAAGGCAGAUGGGAGCCACCAGAGAGACGCCAUGUAGACACAGAAGAGUAACAUGCCAGGGUAUUACUGGAUGGGCCCUGAGGAUGUCUGUUACUCCUGAGCCUUGCCAACAACUGAUGGAGAAUCCCACUUCUGCCAUGACCAGCCACAGUCUGUUUAGGAGACUUUACCAGAGGAUCUAAGCAGCCAGUGUGAUGCAAAGUCCAUGUGUGUCAUGCCUGACAAUACUUCUUGCACCAGUUCUUUUGCAAGCUGCAAUUCAGGUUCAAGCCUUCAGUAUUGAACUCAUUUGCAGCAGACACCAUCACUUUCUUCCUCUAGACCUUGCUUAAAAAAAAUAAAGCUUUGUUUUUGUUCCUUGGUUAUCUUGCUUCUUUCUUUGGCUAUGGUGGCAUACGUCAUGAAUUGAAUUGCACUAGCUGUACCAGUCGGUGAUAGCACACACCAGCACUCAGGAGGAAGAGGCAGGUUGAUCUAAGUGUUCAAUCGAGGCCAGGUUGGUCUAUAAAGCAAGUUCCAG